AAGUGUAUUUUACCCGUCUUUUAAUAUUAAUGUGGUUUUAUUACCAAACCAGUUUUCGAGAAGUUACAAAAAGUUACCUUCUGGUUGGGUUGAGUUUAAGCAUUAACUUAAACAUAAACAUAAACAAAAGGAGAUGAUUGUGGAGGAACUUGUUGUCCGUCUUCGGCUUGAAGAAGACAACAUAUAUUGUCCAAAAAGGCACCACUUUGAAAGUUGUUUGGCAUGGUAGAAUGAAAUGAAUAAAAACCGCUACUACAUCAAUUUAUAUACUUGAGUCUCAAAUGUUUAAAUAGAACAUUAUUUCCGAGAAAGUUGAAAGAAAUUCAAAUUGUACUAGGUGUUCAUAUGGUACUUUCCUCUGCUGCUUAAAAAUUUUUGCUUACAAAUUUCGAGAAUGUGCAGAACUUAAUUUAAAUCAAGAAAUAGGGGUUGAUGAAGAUUGAGAUGCUGUUAGUUGUAGACAAGCACGAAGCAUCAGAACAUAAGAUGUACAAGAGCAGAAGAACCGUUUACAAAUCAUUGGU
This 524-nucleotide long non-coding RNA is filed under the name Helianthus annuus (common sunflower). Lineage: Eukaryota; Viridiplantae; Streptophyta; Magnoliopsida; Asterales; Asteraceae. The record is from RNAcentral.